Molecule: non-coding RNA, 96 nt
Organism: Rhexocercosporidium sp. MPI-PUGE-AT-0058
Lineage: Eukaryota; Fungi; Ascomycota; Leotiomycetes; Helotiales
Source: the annotation of a GenBank genome assembly
GCUCCAAUGGCGCAAUGGUAGCGCGCGAGACUUCUAUUCUCUUCUCAGGUACGGAAGUCCAUCUCGAGGCUGUGGGUUCGAGUCCCACUUGGAGUG